Molecule: long non-coding RNA, 259 nt
Organism: Rhinopithecus roxellana (golden snub-nosed monkey)
Lineage: Eukaryota; Metazoa; Chordata; Mammalia; Primates; Cercopithecidae
Exons: 3
Source: RefSeq, a predicted model, not a curated record
AGGGAAAACUGGAUCUAAGGAAUACAGAGGCAGGCAACAACAGAAGAAAAGGAGCACACAGCACAGGGUCUCAUUCUGUUGCCCAGGCUGGAGUGCAGUACAGUGAUGUGAUCACAGCUCAGUGAAGGCUCGACCUCCCCGACUCAACAGAUCCUCCCACUUCAGCCUCAAAAGUGGCCUAGGACAAACUUCUAGAAGUGGAAUUGCUUGGCAUAAACUUCUGUACAUUGUAAAAUGCUUCCUGUGUACUCUCCAAAAU